UGGGGAAUAUUGCACAAUGGGCGCAAGCCUGAUGCAGCCAUGCCGCGUGUAUGAAGAAGGCCUUCGGGUUGUAAAGUACUUUCAGCGAGGAGGAAGGCAUUAAGGUUAAUAACCUUGGUGAUUGACGUUACUCGCAGAAGAAGCACCGCUAACUCCGUGCCAGCAGCCGCGGUAAUACGGAGGGUGCAAGCGUUAAAUCGGAAUUACUGGGCGUAAAGCGCACGCAGGCGGUCUGUCAAGUCGGAUGUGAAAUCCCCGGGCUCAACCUGGGAACUGCAUUCGAAACUGGCAGGCUAGAGUCUUGUAGAGGGGUAG
RNAcentral lists this ribosomal RNA (315 nucleotides) under uncultured Enterobacteriaceae bacterium. RNAcentral's name for it is "bacterial SSU rRNA". It matches the Rfam family "Bacterial small subunit ribosomal RNA", at positions 355 to 662 of the family's 1533-position model. Lineage: Bacteria; Pseudomonadati; Pseudomonadota; Gammaproteobacteria; Enterobacterales; Enterobacteriaceae. The record is from RNAcentral.